CCAGACUCCUACGGGAGGCAGCAGUGGGGGAUAUUGGGCAAUGGGGGAAACCCUGACCCAGCGACGCCGCGUGAGGGAAGACGGUCUUCGGAUUGUAAACCUCUGUCUUUGGGGACGAAAAAGGACGGUACCCAAGGAGGAAGCCCCGGCUAACUACGUGCCAGCAGCCGCGGUAAUACGUAGGGGGCAAGCGUUAUCCGGAAUUACUGGGUGUAAAGGGAGCGUAGACGGCUAUGCAAGUCUGGAGUGAAAGGCGGGGGCCCAACCCCCGGACUGCUCUGGAAACUGUAGAGCUAGAGUGCAGGAGAGGUAAGUGGAAUUCCUAGUGUAGCGGUGAAAUGCGUAGAUAUUAGGAGGAACACCAGUGGCGAAGGCGGCUUACUGGACUGUAACUGACGUUGAGGCUCGAAAGCGUGGGGAGCAAACAGGAUUAGAUACCCUAGUACAC
Molecule: ribosomal RNA, 448 nt
Filed under: uncultured bacterium
Lineage: Bacteria
Description: bacterial SSU rRNA
Rfam family: Bacterial small subunit ribosomal RNA
Source: RNAcentral